Schistocerca cancellata (South American locust) is the source of this 587-nucleotide long non-coding RNA. RefSeq lists it as uncharacterized. The transcript has 3 exons. The record is from RefSeq and is a predicted model, not a curated record. Lineage: Eukaryota; Metazoa; Arthropoda; Insecta; Orthoptera; Acrididae.
CGCGAGUCGACAGUUGUCUGGUGUAGUCCGUGCUAGUCGGCGGGAGUCGGCAUGUGUCGGCUGUGUGCUCUGCUCGGGACUCUGGUCAGGACUCUGGAGGAUGAGUAUUGUUGUAGAAGGUUUAUUUUGUUGCGUUCAGUGCCGUAAAUAACCCUUGUACACCCACAAGCAAAGUGUUGGGGUCUUCGACUUCUUCGACACAAGGACGGCGGAGUGACGAGGCAACGAAAAGUGUGUCAGACGCCCCAGCUGGAGGUAUCCCCUCCACUCUCCCCCACCAACUCCGCGCUGCGAGAGGAGGAGAAUACCGAUUGCGCAUGCGCUAGUUGCAAGCUGAACUCACGUGGACGUCGCAUCGUGAAGAUAACGCGUACUUAUUUGCACUCACGAUAGUGCUUUAUAAGUGACGGUGAAAGCACAACAACUCAUCUAAACUGGAGGUCCUCUUACCUGUGCCGUGUACUGUGUAGCGACCGCAGGCAGCGGAUGCACAGCGUAGACACACAGCAACUCAAGGGGUGGCCAUAGUGCGUGCGCAGAGCGGAGAUUUUUCACCGCUCGCGCAUUAAGCCAGUUCGCGCGCGCUC